RNAcentral lists this ribosomal RNA (542 nucleotides) under Colletotrichum sp. RXSB1. RNAcentral describes it as "eukaryotic LSU rRNA". The stretch from base 216 to 369 matches the Rfam family "5.8S ribosomal RNA". Lineage: Eukaryota; Fungi; Ascomycota; Sordariomycetes; Glomerellales; Glomerellaceae. The record is from RNAcentral.
UCGUAACAAGGUCUCCGUUGGUGAACCAGCGGAGGGAUCAUUACUGAGUUUACGCUCUAUAACCCUUUGUGAACAUACCUAUAACUGUUGCUUCGGCGGGUAGGGUCUCCGUGACCCUCCCGGCCUCCCGCCCCCGGGCGGGUCGGCGCCCGCCGGAGGAUAACCAAACUCUGAUUUAACGACGUUUCUUCUGAGUGGUACAAGCAAAUAAUCAAAACUUUUAACAACGGAUCUCUUGGUUCUGGCAUCGAUGAAGAACGCAGCGAAAUGCGAUAAGUAAUGUGAAUUGCAGAAUUCAGUGAAUCAUCGAAUCUUUGAACGCACAUUGCGCCCGCCAGCAUUCUGGCGGGCAUGCCUGUUCGAGCGUCAUUUCAACCCUCAAGCUCUGCUUGGUGUUGGGGCCCUACAGCUGAUGUAGGCCCUCAAAGGUAGUGGCGGACCCUCCCGGAGCCUCCUUUGCGUAGUAACUUUACGUCUCGCACUGGGAUCCGGAGGGACUCUUGCCGUAAAACCCCCAAUUUCCAAAGGUGACCUCGAUCAGU